RNAcentral lists this ribosomal RNA (253 nucleotides) under uncultured bacterium. RNAcentral describes it as "partial 16S ribosomal RNA". It matches the Rfam family "Bacterial small subunit ribosomal RNA", at positions 524 to 776 of the family's 1533-position model. The record is from RNAcentral.
UACGUAGGCAGCGAGCGUUGUUCGGAAUUACUGGGCGUAAAGGGUGUGUAGGUGGUGGCGUAAGUUCUGUGUGAAAUCUCCCGGCUUAACCGGGAGGGUGCGCAGAGGACUGCGUCGCUAGAGUAUGGGAGAGGUAAGCGGAAUUUCUGGUGUAGCGGUGAAAUGCGUAGAUAUCAGAAGGAACACCUGUGGUGUAGACGGCUUACUGGACCAUUACUGACACUGAGACACGAAAGCGUGGGUAGCAAACAGC